This 66-nucleotide transfer RNA is filed under the name Pollicipes polymerus. RNAcentral's name for it is "tRNA-Cys". Lineage: Eukaryota; Metazoa; Arthropoda; Thecostraca; Pollicipedomorpha; Pollicipedidae. The record is from RNAcentral.
AGUGAAGUAUUUUAAGUUAAAAAUAUUAUCUUGCAAAGAUAAAGUUGCCUGUUAGGGUCGUCACUU